This 301-nucleotide unclassified non-coding RNA is filed under the name Laccaria sp. Its description in RNAcentral is "partial contains 5.8S ribosomal RNA, internal transcribed spacer 2, and large subunit ribosomal RNA". The stretch from base 1 to 52 matches the Rfam family "5.8S ribosomal RNA", at positions 103 to 154 of the family's 154-position model. The record is from RNAcentral. RNAcentral also lists the same sequence under 2 other names. Lineage: Eukaryota; Fungi; Basidiomycota; Agaricomycetes; Agaricales; Hydnangiaceae.
AACGCACCUUGCGCUCCUUGGUAUUCCGAGGAGCAUGCCUGUUUGAGUGUCAUUAAAUUCUCAACCUUCCAACUUUUAUUAGCUUGGUUAGGCUUGGAUGUGGGGGUUGCGGGCUUCAUUAAUGAGGUCGGCUCUCCUUAAAUGCAUUAGCGGAACUUUUGUGGACCGUCUAUUGGUGUGAUAAUUAUCUACGCCGUGGAUGUGAAGCAGCUUUAUGAAGUUCUGCUUCUAACCGUCCAUUGACUUGGACAAUUUUUGACAAUUUGACCUCAAAUCAGGUAGGACUACCCGCUGAACUUAA